ACCAAUGAUUACGACGUGAAAAUGCGCAACGUGUUCAAGUUCCUAGAGAACGGCGACAAGGUGAAGGUCACCCUGCGCUUUCGUGGUCGCGAGAUGGCGCACCUUAAUCUUGGCCGUGAGCUGCUGGAACGAGUCGCUGACGACAUCGAAGGCCACGGCAAGGUCGAGAACUUCCCCAAGAUGGAAGGCCGCCAGAUGAUCAUGUUGAUCGGCCCGCUGAAGACGUAACACCGUCCUGUCUGCCCCAAUUUGAAAAGCCCCGAUGCCCGAACGGCCCUCGGGGCUUUUUCUUUGUCAGGUGCGUUUCGGGUCGCGUGGCUGUGGCCUCGA
This 330-nucleotide unclassified non-coding RNA is filed under the name Litoreibacter ascidiaceicola. RNAcentral describes it as "Long range pseudoknot". Lineage: Bacteria; Pseudomonadati; Pseudomonadota; Alphaproteobacteria; Rhodobacterales; Roseobacteraceae. The record is from RNAcentral.